Molecule: transfer RNA, 72 nt
Filed under: Anaerolineaceae bacterium
Lineage: Bacteria; Bacillati; Chloroflexota; Anaerolineae; Anaerolineales; Anaerolineaceae
Description: tRNA-Arg
Rfam family: tRNA
About the family: Transfer RNA (tRNA) molecules are approximately 80 nucleotides in length. Their secondary structure includes four short double-helical elements and three loops (D, anti-codon, and T loops).
Source: RNAcentral
GUCCCUGUAGCGCAAUGGAUAGCGUGCCGGCCUCCGAAGCCGAAGGUGAGAGUUCGAUCCUCUCCAGGGACA